UACGGGGGGAGCAAGCGUUGUUCGGAUUUACUGGGCGUAAAGGGCGCGUAGGCGGUCAUGACAAGUCACUUGUGAAAUCUCCGGGCUUAACUCGGAACGGUCAAGUGAUACUGUCAGACUAGAGUGCAGAAGGGGCAACUGGAAUUCUCGGUGUAGCGGUGAAAUGCGUAGAUAUCGAGAGGAACACCUGCGGCGAAGGCGGGUUGCUGGGCUGACACUGACGCUGAGGCGCGAAAGCUAGGGGAGCGAACGGG
RNAcentral lists this ribosomal RNA (254 nucleotides) under uncultured bacterium. RNAcentral's name for it is "partial 16S ribosomal RNA". It matches the Rfam family "Bacterial small subunit ribosomal RNA", at positions 524 to 776 of the family's 1533-position model. The record is from RNAcentral.